RNAcentral lists this long non-coding RNA (219 nucleotides) under Mytilus galloprovincialis (Mediterranean mussel). Lineage: Eukaryota; Metazoa; Mollusca; Bivalvia; Mytilida; Mytilidae. The record is from RNAcentral.
GUGGGGCAUAGCAAUAGUAGUAUGACCUCAGGAAUAACAAGUGUGUAUAUACACUAGAUUCAUACAAUGUUGAUCUGAGGUGCUUAUAACCCUGUAACACAUUUUAGUUGUUGCUGUGUAAUUACCAUUGAGGCAAUGACAUUUCAGAUUUUUGUUUUAAGCCAUCUAUUUGAUAUACUAGUAAUAAUUGCCUCUGUGUUAGGACGACCCAUUGUUAAU